Long non-coding RNA from Chinchilla lanigera (long-tailed chinchilla), 3245 nucleotides. Lineage: Eukaryota; Metazoa; Chordata; Mammalia; Rodentia; Chinchillidae. The record is from Ensembl.
AGAGGAAUGUAAUUAUUAUGGAUAGUAAACAUAUACUGCUAGUAAAAAAUUGACUGUGAUUUUUUUACAGACUAAUAGUUGAUAGUAAAAUGGAUGUUGACCCUUCACAUAGGCAAGAUUAUGCCGUCUUCUUGAGAUUUGAGACUGUGGGAAGUAAAGAUGGAUGUUUGAGAGAUGAUAACUCUGAAAUUAUCAAAAGUGAUCAGCUUCAGAAAGUGGAAUUAGCACUGACAGGUUCAGGGCUUCCUGUCUUACUGCAUUUUGAUCCAGGCAAAGUCUUUAAAUUUUUACCUUGUUUCAUGGGUAAACAUUUAGACAUUAUGUGCUUUGUACGAAAUCAAUCUGAAGAUCUUCCUGUCACAUACCGUUUUCCAAAGACUGCACAUUUUAAAAUUGAUCCUAGUAGGGGAAAGAUCAAUGAAGGGUGUAUCCAGGUAAGAUAAGUUUUCUUCAUUUUCUUUCCACAUUGCUUCAGACACUUUUUAGGUCUGCUAAAUUGCUGUGCAGAGUAUUAAAAACACAUUUGUUCUACAGAUGCUUAUAAAAUGUACCGCUUAUGUGGCCUAGCAUUAGUUAUAAAUACUUUUGUAUGUAUAGUCGUAAAUAAUCUGUGAUCAUUUGUUAAGUACCUGUUAGGUGCCAGGAAAGUACUUGAAGUUCUAGGGAAGUUAAAUAAGUGCAAAACAUAAUUACUGCUUCUAAAGGUAUUUUUAAAGUAAUGCAGAAUUUUAAGACAUAUACGCAAACUCAUACGAUUUAAGAAGCAUGUAAAAUAUGCUAAAAUAGGACUGGUACAAAACAGAAAAAGAAAAUACCAAGGCAUUGCUCUGGGAACUGGGUCAAUUCUACAUAUCAGGGGUUAUUUUACUUAUAACCGCUGCUCAGCCAACUCUUUCCCAUAUCCUCCCAAGCAGGCAUUGGAAGGCUAAGGUCUGCAGACCAAAUCUAUCCUGAUGCCUCUUUUGGUAAACAGUGCUUUUGGAAUACAGCUAUACAAAUGUGUUCACUUACUGUCUAAAGCUAUUUUCAUGCUAUAAUGACAGAGUUGAGUAGAUGUGAAAAGACUACGUGGUCCAUAAAGUCUAUUAUUUUUUCCUUUUUGUGCUACAGAUUGACCUCAGGACUAUGCACAUGCCAGGCAGCUGCUCCACCACUGAGCUGCAUUUACAGACACUCCCACCAAAAAUCCUAGAGUACUUUCUGUCUUGUCAUUUAUAGGAAAAGAGUUUUGCUGAACCCUGCUCUAAGUGUAGCAAACACCAGCGCUUUCAAUUUUACCUCAGUUUGUUAACAUCUUUUUUUCUACUGGAUAAUGAUGUGGCUCAUAAAAUUAUUGAUGGUUGUUUUCUCUUAAUUGCAAUCAAGAACUAUUGUGUCCUUGUAGCUCCUAUUUAUAUUUCUUGCUGGUUAAUUAGUAUGAGUCAUUGUCAGUUAGAAUAGAUUUAAUCAGCCUUCAUAGAACAACAACAGUUUUUUUCUUUGGUCUUUUAGAGACAGGACACGGUUUCACUAUGCAGUUCAUGCUGGCCUUGAACACACUUUGUUGCCUGAGCUGGCUUUGAACUUGCAGCAAUCCUCCCGUCUCAACUUUCGGAGUGCUGGGAUUACAGGUGUGCACCACCACACUUGGCCCAACAGAUACUGAACAUAUUACAUAAACAGUCCUCUUUUUAACUGCUUCCUAGAUUUUCAUUGGGUCAAGUCUCUUAAAUCUAUCAAAUUGAUUUUCUUUUCUCCAGCAACAUGGUUAUUUUUUCAAACAUUUGUGAGAACUGAGUCUUUAGUUUUCACCUCUCUUUGUUCUGGAUUCAUCCAGGAUUAAUAACUUUUGAAUCAAUAAAGUAUCAGUAUAGGAAGUGUGAUGGUUACUAGAGAACUGUGAUGUCCAGAAACUAUUUAGACAUGUGAUGAGAUUAUUGUUUUUUAAAUUAUAUCUUGGUUGAAUUAUAAUUUCCAUGCCAUGUAAUUCACGCAUUUGAUGUAUACAAUUCAAUAGUAUGAAUGUAUCUCGGAAGUUGUUCAACCAGGAGCGCUAUCUAAUUUGACAGUGUUCACAUUAAUCCAAAAAUAAACCCCAUGUUCGUUAGAAAUCGUUCCCCCUUCUCCUCCACUAGCUCCUAAAAAUCAAUAAUCUAUUUUUUAUCCCUAUAGACUUCCCGUCUUCUAUACAUUUACUCUAAAUAUUAUUUUUAUGUGGCCUUUUAUGUCUAACUUAUUUUAUUAUUCUAUUUCCAAAGUUCUACAUUGUAGUAUGUAACAAUAUUUCGUUUGUUUUUGUGAUCACGUCAUAUUCGGUUAUAUGGACAUACCACCUUUUCUUUAGCCACUCAUCAUUUGAGUGACAUUAGGGGUAUUUCCAUGUUGUAGCUACUCUGGAUAAACAUGCUAUAAGCAUUCAUAUGUAAGCUUUACUAUAGAUAUAUUUUGAUACUGUGAAAAUAUAUUUAAGAGUGGAAUUAUGAGGUCAUAUGAAAACUCUAUGUUUAACAUUUUGAGAAACUCUAAUGCUCUGCCAAAGUGAUUGUAUUAUUUUACAUUACCACUGAAAAUGAAUGAUCAUUAAAAUUUCUCCAUACCCUUGACCAUAUUUAUUAGUAUACUUUUUAUUAAUGGAUUGGGGCUGGGAAUUUAAUUCAGCGGCAAAGCGCCUGCCUAGCAAGCGCAAGGUCAUGAGUUUGAUUCCCAGUACCAGAAAAAAAAAAAAGUAAAAAAAAUAUAUUAAUGGUCACACUAUUGGGAACAAUUUGGCAUGCUGUUAUGAUUUUCAUUUCCAUCUCUUCAAUAACCAACGCUGAUGAAUGCCUUUCAUAUGCUGGUCUCCAUUUGUGUAUUUUCUCUUAUCUGUGAUAGGCAGUUUAAUGACCUCCAAAAAAUAUCCCUUUGUAAAUUUCUCACAUUCAUGAGUGUGUGAUGUUUCAUGGCAAAGAGAAUUCAGGUUUCAGUUGGAGUUAAGACAGAUAAUAAGGUGAUCCUAAAAUACAGAAAUUACCCUGUAUUGUCUAGGUGGGCCCAGUAGAAUCAUAAGGGCCCUUAAAAUCAUAAGGACCCUUGUUCUGGGGGCUAAAACAAACAUCACCAUUAUAAUGGUGUGAUCUGAAAGAUAUUUCAUUGUCUUUUGCUGGCUUUGAAAAUGGAAAUGGAAGGCCACAAUCCAAGGAAUCAGAUGUCUUCCAGAAAGACAUACAGUUCUGAAAAUAGCUACAAUUUAGGCCAUUCACAUCUGUGUCAGACUUCUAACAUACUCA